Molecule: long non-coding RNA, 1058 nt
Filed under: Equus asinus (donkey)
Lineage: Eukaryota; Metazoa; Chordata; Mammalia; Perissodactyla; Equidae
Description: lncRNA (ENSEASG00005027680.1)
Source: RNAcentral
GUUUCUUCAUCUCUCUGAGUUCUGACGACUGCGUCUUGCUGACAGGCUUGGAAAGAGACUCUGUACCUGGUGGAUGUGGUGAUUAUCUUCUCACACCCUCUCAUGGUCUCCCAAACAAGUAGUGGGUGAACAGCUGGCUCUGCAGGUCAGGGGGCUUUUUGUGCUUCUAGGUCCCAAGGAUGGAGGACAGAAGUGCCGUGUGGACCUGGCUGCCUAUCUCUGAGCCUGCUCGCUCUCCUCAGGCACCUGCCCUGGGCUCCAGGCUUGCAGCACCACCAUCUGCUUCUGGCCUUUUGCAGGUACUUUUCCCUCCACUUGGUGCCCUUACCACGAUCCUGGGUAACCUGUUGAUAAGAGUGUUUUGUAUCCUGAAGCCUUGGGCUGUAUCAGUGUGAACUCUUGGGCAUGGGGAGCUUAAAACUAAGUAACUAAGGUCAGCCAUGCAACACUCCAUGCCUACGUGACUGAACCCAGCAAAACCUGGAUACAAAGGCUCAGGUGAACUUCCUUGGAUGGCAACACUUUGCACAUUGCUCUCUGUGAGAUUCCACUAGGACAGGGCACCUGGAAGCUCAUACCUGCUUUCUCCUGAACUUCACCCCAUACACCUUUCCUCUUGCUAACUUUUAAUCUGUAUCCUUUCACUGUAAUAAACCAUAUCUAUGAGUAUAAUAGCUUUUCUGAGUCCUGUGACUCCUUCUAGUGAACUAUCGAGCCUGAGGAUGGCCUUGGAGACCUGGGCACGCUGGGUGACUGGUUGAACCGGCUAGGCUCAAUUUCUCCAAGCUCUGCUCUCCAUCUGCUAUCAUCACCCUGGCUUCUGAAAGUCUGUGGUGGUAUCCACUGGGAGAAGUGGACCAUGUAUCUUCCAAAUUAUUACAAGGAAAACCCAAACACAGAAUAAGAACCACAAGAACAAAACAUAGGCCACAAAGUGGAUAAAAGUAAUAAAAGAUACCUUAAAACCAGAAAGCAAGCACACUAUUCUGCCACACUGAGACGUGCUGGUUAGAGGGUUUGUUGUUGUUUCAGGUACCACUGAGAGGGGCAGAAAGUUA